CCUGGUGGCGAGUGGCGAACGGGUGAGUAAUAUAUCGGAACGUGCCCAGUCGGUGGGGAUAACGUAGCGAAAGCUACGCUAAUACCGCAUACGAUCUAUGGAUGAAAGCGGGGGAUCGCAAGACCUCGCGCGAUUGGAGCGGCCGAUAUCAGAUUUAGGUAGUUGGUGAGGUAAAGGCUCACCAAGCCGACGAUCUGUAGCUGGUCUGAGAGGACGACCAGCCACACUGGGACUGAGACACGGCCCAGACUCCUACGGGAGGCAGCAGUGGGGAAUUUUUGGACAAUGGGCGCAAGCCUGAUCCAGCAAUGCCGCGUGCAGGAUGAAGGCCUUCGGGUUGUAAACUGCUUUUGUACGGAACGAAACGGUGAGCUCUAAUACAGUUUGCUAAUGACGGUACCGUAAGAAUAAGCACCGGCUAACUACGUG
RNAcentral lists this ribosomal RNA (429 nucleotides) under uncultured bacterium. RNAcentral describes it as "bacterial SSU rRNA". It matches the Rfam family "Bacterial small subunit ribosomal RNA", at positions 84 to 507 of the family's 1533-position model. The record is from RNAcentral.